This 253-nucleotide ribosomal RNA is filed under the name uncultured bacterium. RNAcentral describes it as "partial 16S ribosomal RNA". It matches the Rfam family "Bacterial small subunit ribosomal RNA", at positions 524 to 776 of the family's 1533-position model. The record is from RNAcentral.
UACGGGGGGGGCAAGCGUUGUUCGGAAUUACUGGGCGUAAAGGGCUCGUAGGUGGCCAACUAAGUCAGACGUGAAAUCCCUCGGCUUAACCGGGGAACUGCGUCUGAUACUGGAUGGCUUGAGUUCGGGAGAGGGAUGCGGAAUUCCAGGUGUAGCGGUGAAAUGCGUAGAUAUCUGGAGGAACACCGGUGGCGAAGGCGGUUCUCUGGGCCUUACCUGACACUGAGGAGCGAAAGCGUGGGGAGCGAACAGG